AUUGAACGCUGGCGACAGGCCUAACACAUGCAAGUCGAACGAGUGGCGGACGGGUGAGUAAUGUCUGGGAAACUGCCUGAUGGAGGGGGAUAACUACUGGAAACGGUAGCUAAUACCGCAUACCAUCGGAUUUGCACAGGUGGGAUUAGCUAGUAGGUGGGGUAAAGGCUCACCUAGGCGACGAUCCAUAGCUGACCUGAGAGGGUGACCAGCCACACUGGAACUGAGACACGGUCCAGACUCCUACGGGAGGCAGCAGUAGGGAAUAUUGCGCAAUGGGCGCAAGCCUGACGCAGCCACGCCGCGUGUAUGAAGAAGGCCUUCGGGUUGUAAAGUACUUUCAGCGGGGAGGCGUUACCCACACAGGAAGCCCCGGCUAACUCCGUGCCAGCAGCCGCGGUAAUAC
This 406-nucleotide ribosomal RNA is filed under the name uncultured bacterium. RNAcentral describes it as "partial 16S ribosomal RNA". It matches the Rfam family "Bacterial small subunit ribosomal RNA", at positions 30 to 526 of the family's 1533-position model. The record is from RNAcentral.